AGUGGCAAAUGAUGGAAAUAUUCUUAUCCUACACACCGAACAUUGAUGUGGAUUAAUUCUUCGCUUAUUAUCUGAUGCCAUU
This 82-nucleotide small nucleolar RNA is filed under the name Amborella trichopoda. Its description in RNAcentral is "Small nucleolar RNA R16". It matches the Rfam family "Small nucleolar RNA R16". From Rfam's summary of the family: snoR16 is a member of the C/D class of snoRNA which contain the C (UGAUGA) and D (CUGA) box motifs. The record is from Rfam by way of RNAcentral. Lineage: Eukaryota; Viridiplantae; Streptophyta; Magnoliopsida; Amborellales; Amborellaceae.